UAUUCUUUGUUCAUCAAAGGUAAACCUGGAUCCCUUGUGGUUGUGGCAGUCUAUGUGGAUGAUAUUAUCCUUACUGGGGAUGACAGUGAUGAGAUUACUACCCUGAAACAGUUUCUGGAUGAUCAGUUUAAAAUCAAGACCUAGGAUCUUUGCAUUAUUUUCUGGGCCUUGAAAUGUCAGUUGUUCCUGGUGGAAUGAUCCUUAAUCAGCAUAAAUAUAUUUUUGACUUACUGCACCAGUUUGAUUGUACAAAUGUCUCAUCUAUUGUUUCUCCUUUGGACAUUAAUGUCAAACUUCAUACUGAUUCUGGUGACCUUUUAUCCUCUCCUGACCAGUACAGGAGUCUAGUUGGUAAGAUGUUGUUUCUGACUCAUACUAGGCCUGACAUAUGCUUUGCUGCAUUAUUUUCUGGGCCUUGAAAUGUCAGUUGUUCCUGGUGGAAUGAUCCUUAAUCAGCAUAAAUAUAUUUUUGACUUACUGCACCAGUUUGAUUGUACAAAUGUCUCAUCUAUUGUUUCUCCUUUGGACAUUAAUGUCAAACUUCAUACUGAUUCUGGUGACCUUUUAUCCUCUCCUGACCAGUACAGGAGUCUUGUUGGUAAGAUGUUGUUUCUGACUCAUACUAGGCAUGACAUAUGCUUUGCUGUUCAACAUCUGAGUCAAUUCCUUAAAUGCCCCAGACUUUCCCAUAUGACUGCUGCCCUGCACGUUUUGAGAUACCUUAAAGGCACUCCUUCUAUGGGUCUCUUUUAUUCUGCCUGUGAUGAUUUCUCUGUGGUUGGUUAUUCUGAUAGUGACUGGGCUGCCUGCCCUGACACUAGGAGAUCUGUCACUGGAUUUUGUGUGCUAUUAGGUGGUUGCCUGAUUAGUUGGAAGUCUAAGAAGCAACCUGUUGUUUCUUUGUCUUCUGCUGAGGCAGAAUAUAGAGCCCUCAGCAAAGUUGUUGCUGAAUUAUCUUGGCUUUCUCGUUUGUUGGUUGAUCUUGGGGUAUCUGUUUCUCUUCCUUUUUCGUUAUAUUGUGACAGUCAGGCUGAUGUCCAUAUAUCUAACAAUCCUGUUUUUCAUGAGCGUACCAAACACAUCGAGGUGGACUUCCAUUUUGUUCGGGACCUACUCCAGAAUGGUUUUCUCAAGUUGCUUCAUGUUUCUACUUCUCGUCAGCUGGCUGACCUGCUCACUAAACCAUUGCCUGGCACUGUGCUUCAUCCACUGAUAUCCAAGUUGCAGGUGGUUUACCCAUCCAACUUGAGGGGGGGUGUUGAGAUGAAAGCCUAUAAAUGAUUAUACACAUUGUAUAUACAUUGUAUAUUUAUUAUAUUUUCUGGUAUACAAUGUAUUGGGUUGUGAUGAUUGUUGUUUAGGUUGUAUAUAUCUGAGCCCGUUUUCAUUUUGUUAUUGGGCCGUCUGGCCCGACCCAAUAGUAGUUGUAUAAAGGUCAUUUGUACAGAUAUUUUGGUUAAGGAUUUUCAUUUGCUUCUCGGGUUUCCUCCAGAAGCUUCUCAUCUCUCUCUACUUCUCACUGUUCAUCUUCAUCUUCUCUGGUUUUCUUCUCCAAAUCUCCAUGUUUUCAUGGUAUCAGAGCGGGGAAAUCUUCCGAUCCUUCCCUGUUAUGUGUUAUCGAUGC
Molecule: long non-coding RNA, 1624 nt
Filed under: Nicotiana benthamiana
Lineage: Eukaryota; Viridiplantae; Streptophyta; Magnoliopsida; Solanales; Solanaceae
Description: long non-coding RNA (NBEN_LNC005609)
Source: RNAcentral